AGAGCGGCGUUCGGUCGCCCACAACGGGACCUCAGGUCAGGCGGGG
This 46-nucleotide ribosomal RNA is filed under the name Plagiocarpus axillaris. Its description in RNAcentral is "partial 26S ribosomal RNA". Lineage: Eukaryota; Viridiplantae; Streptophyta; Magnoliopsida; Fabales; Fabaceae. The record is from RNAcentral.